UGUUUGGAAUGGAAAAGAAGCUGACAGCUGGUUCUGGAUCAGUGGUUCUAUCUGGAUGGAGCUUUACCUGAGAGUCAGAUCCUGCUGAGGGCUGAACUCAAGAUUCUUGAAUCCAAAAUGGUGGAUAUGAUCAGUGAAGGGACUCUGCCCUGCUCUGCCUUAAGAUCAUUAUCUGGAAACGGGCAGGUGAAGCUGUCUCUAUCAUACGCCUUGCAGGAGAGAAAGCUCAGCGUCAUCGUUCAUGGCUGCAGGGGUCUGACAUCUCAAAGUAAGGAGGGGGUAGACAGCUAUGUCUCCCUCAUGCUGCUGCCCGACAGAAACAAAGCCAGCAAGAGGAAGACAGCAGUGAAGAAAAGAGAUCUCAACCCAGAAUAUAACGAAAGGUAAUUCAUAAUCUUACUGGCUAUUUGAUUUU
This is a long non-coding RNA of Labrus mixtus (cuckoo wrasse), 415 nucleotides long. RefSeq lists it as uncharacterized. The transcript is spliced from 3 exons. The record is from RefSeq and is a predicted model, not a curated record. Lineage: Eukaryota; Metazoa; Chordata; Actinopteri; Labriformes; Labridae.